UACGUAGGGUGCGAGCGUUAAUCGGAAUUACUGGGCGUAAAGUGUGCGCAGGUGGCUUCGCAAGUCGAGUGUGAAAUCCCCGGGCUUAACCUGGGAAUUGCGCUUGAAACUACGGAGCUGGAGUGUGGCAGAGGAAGGUGGAAUUCCACGUGUAGCGGUGAAAUGCGUAGAGAUGUGGAGGAACACCGAUGGCGAAGGCAGCCCCCUGGGCUAACACUGACGCUCAGGCACGAAAGCGUGGGGAGCAAACAGG
This 253-nucleotide ribosomal RNA is filed under the name uncultured bacterium. Its description in RNAcentral is "partial 16S ribosomal RNA". It matches the Rfam family "Bacterial small subunit ribosomal RNA", at positions 524 to 776 of the family's 1533-position model. The record is from RNAcentral.